This 274-nucleotide long non-coding RNA is filed under the name Columba livia (rock pigeon). Its description in RNAcentral is "partial uncharacterized LOC102094393". Lineage: Eukaryota; Metazoa; Chordata; Aves; Columbiformes; Columbidae. The record is from RNAcentral.
AAGAACGCCAACAACUCGCAGAGCGCGGUGGUGCCGGUGCCGCUGGAGGUGCGCGCGGCCACGCGCCUCUCGGUCUUCGGGGUGUCCCGGCCUGACGUUGUCACCAUCCCCGAGGGGGUGUGGGCAUCUGAGCGGCCACCGCAGCGGCUGCAGGACCUGGGGCCACCCGUGGAGCACGUCUAUGAGGUGGUGAACGAGGGUCCCAGCGCCAUCAGCCAUGGGACCCUGGAGCUGAGCUGUCCCCUGAGCCACCGUGGCCACCCGCUGCUCUACG